Molecule: ribosomal RNA, 240 nt
Filed under: Hemimycena sp.
Lineage: Eukaryota; Fungi; Basidiomycota; Agaricomycetes; Agaricales; Mycenaceae
Description: partial large subunit ribosomal RNA
Source: RNAcentral
AAACGCUUGAAGUCAGUCGCGUUGUCUGGGGAUCAGCCUUGCUUUUGCUUGGUGUACUUCCUAGUCAAUGGGUCAACAUCAGUUUUGACUGUUGGAAAAAGAUUAGAGGAAUGUGGCAUCUUCGGAUGUGUUAUAGCCUCUGGUUGUAUACAGCAGUUGGGACUGAGGAACUCAGCACGCCGCAAGGCCGGGAUUUAUCCACGUACGUGCUUAGGAUGUUGGCAUAAUGGCUUUAAUCGA